GAUGAAGAACGUAGCGAAAUGCGAUAAGUAAUGUGAAUUGCAGAAUUCAGUGAAUCAUCGAAUCUUUGAACGCACAUUGCGCCCGCCAGUAUUCUGGCGGGCAUGCCUGUUCGAGCGUCAUUUCAACCAUCAAGCCCCCGGCUUGUGUUGGGGACCUGCGGCUGCCGCAGGCCCUGAAAACCAGUGGCGGGCUCGCUGUCACACCGAGCGUAGUAGAUUUUCAUCUCGCUCAGGGCGUGCUGCGGGUUCCGGCCGUAAAAAGCCUUAUUUACCCAAGGUUGACCUCGGAUCAGGUAGGAAGACCCGCUGAACUUAAGCAUAUCAAAGCGGAGGA
RNAcentral lists this unclassified non-coding RNA (334 nucleotides) under soil metagenome. Its description in RNAcentral is "partial contains 5.8S ribosomal RNA, internal transcribed spacer 2, and large subunit ribosomal RNA". The stretch from base 1 to 120 matches the Rfam family "5.8S ribosomal RNA", at positions 35 to 154 of the family's 154-position model. The record is from RNAcentral.